This 123-nucleotide microRNA precursor is filed under the name Marmota monax (woodchuck). The record is from RNAcentral. Lineage: Eukaryota; Metazoa; Chordata; Mammalia; Rodentia; Sciuridae.
CAAAAAGAUUAGAUUUGAUUAGAGUGUAUUGGGGGAACCUAAUGAAGCCUUUUUGGUUUGACUGUGUGGACCAUGAACUUCCAAGAGUUCCCCCAAUACACUCUAAUCAAAUCUAAUCUUUUU